Molecule: ribosomal RNA, 253 nt
Filed under: uncultured bacterium
Lineage: Bacteria
Description: partial 16S ribosomal RNA
Rfam family: Bacterial small subunit ribosomal RNA
Source: RNAcentral
UACGUAGGGUGCGAGCGUUGUCCGGAAUUACUGGGCGUAAAGAGCUCGUAGGUGGUUUGUCGCGUUGUUCGUGAAAUCUCACGGCUUAACUGUGAGCGUGCGGGCGAUACGGGCAGACUGGAGUACUGCAGGGGAGACUGGAAUUCCUGGUGUAGCGGUGAAAUGCGCAGAUAUCAGGAGGAACACCGGUGGCGAAGGCGGGUCUCUGGGCAAUAACUGACGCUGAGGAGCGAAAGCGUGGGGAGCGAACAGG